Molecule: long non-coding RNA, 751 nt
Filed under: Rattus norvegicus (Norway rat)
Lineage: Eukaryota; Metazoa; Chordata; Mammalia; Rodentia; Muridae
Description: long non-coding RNA NONRATT018871
Source: RNAcentral
GGGACCUGCGAGCAGUGGCUUCCUAGGCUGGAAUCCAGAGGGCAAACCCUGGGUGGCAUCAGGGCUAAGGACUUCUUGCUUAUGGGAGUCCCUCUCGCAGGGUCUUCCACGGCCUGGCAAGAUUUGUUCCCGAGGGAGGGAAAAUGUUUGCCACAUCCUAAGUCCGUGGAAGUGAGCCUCCAAAAGAAACGUUCUUGCACAAAGUUACACUGCCAUCCUGUGGCUGGUAGAGGUUCCCUUUCUUCCUUUGACACUGGAUUUCCGUCUUGGAUCUUUAUUUCUACCCACUUCAGGGCUGAGCGAAGGAAAACUCUCCAGGACCGCGACGGGUACAACGACUCUAUCAGCCGGCCUUGCCCGCACAUCUCCUCUAUCGAGAGGUCAAGUGUCCACGAAGCCACCCGUUGUGACCAAAGAAGGAGGUAACGGAGAAAAGCAGGGCACCUGCCCCAGCGUGGACUUCCCCAAGCUUGGCCUCUGUGAGGACCAGUGCCAGAUGGACAGCCAGUGUUCUGGCAACAUGAAAUGCUGCCGAAAUGGCUGUGGGAAGAUGGGCUGCACCACACCCAAAUUCUGAGCUUCAGCCACCAGCAGCCUGAGGAAUGGAGAGAGGUUGCUUCUGCUGGACCAUGCAUUCUGGUGUCGUUCCUGUGGCCUCCUCUCUCUCUGGCCUUUGCAUUUCGUCCUGGUCCCACAAAAGCAUCUCCUUUUUCUAACCAAUAAAGCGAUCACUUUCAGCAAUGGAGAAGCU